RNA transcript from Solanum tuberosum (potato), 4205 nucleotides. It is a transcript of the gene named E3 ubiquitin-protein ligase RBBP6-like, with no coding region annotated. Lineage: Eukaryota; Viridiplantae; Streptophyta; Magnoliopsida; Solanales; Solanaceae. The transcript has 17 exons. The record is from RefSeq and is a predicted model, not a curated record.
AUUCAUCCCCAAAUUCACCCCGACAAUCAAUCAGUUUCUCAUCCGUGGAAACCCUAGUUCCGACACCCCCCAUAAAGCUUUACUCUUUUGGCUUUCUCUUCAGUUUUCCGUUCGAUUCGCUUCGGAAUUCAACGGAUUUUCCGAUGAGUUCACCGUGCGCGAAGAGGAAUUGACGUUUUCCGGUAGAGAAAACUCUCCUGUUCUCAGAAGAAUUGUCGGUUUAUGUUUGGUCUGUCGGCGCUGAUUGAAUUCGAUUUAAUUCAAUCGAUCUGAAGAAUCCGGUGUUCUAUAAACCCACAGAAUCAGCUCCUGAGUUUAUCGGAUAGAAUCAUCAACCUCCUCAAGUGUGUACGCUAAGAGAGACAUUCGGCGUGAUUUGAUAGAUCGGAUCGAGGUCGUCCCCAGUCGAAGGAGUAGCGGUAGCAGUGGUUUGAUUUUGGUUAAUAAGCACGCCUUUAGAUAUUGCUGCUGAGUGAAGCUUGCGGAUUAUUUUGCUCGUGGAGGAUGUUCAACUGAUCUAUUGGAGGAAUUUGGUUUGACUGAUUUUCCUGAGUUAUUGAAGAGAAGUUGUGAGCUAGAAAAAAGAGCUUUUAAUAUUUUUGUACUUUAUAUCAAUUUUCUUUGAGUUCAAUAUCAGGCCUAUUAUAAUUUUUUGAUAGGCCUCUUUGUUGUUAUAUUGAUUGUUUGAGGAAAAAAAGGAAUUUUAAGAAAAAAAGAGCUAUGUCAGUUUAUUUUAAGUUUAAAAGUGCGAAAGAUUAUGAUUCAAUUCCAAUUGACGGUCACUUUAUUACUGUUGGUAACCUGAAAGAAAAAAUAUUUGAAUCCAAGCAUCUGGGCAGGGGUACAGAUUUUGACCUCGUUGUCACCAACGCCCAGUCUAACGAAGAAUAUCUUGAUGAGGACACCUUGAUUCCCAAAAAUACUAGUGUUUUGAUUCGUCGCGUUCCUGGACGACCUCGCAUGCCCAUAGUUACUGCACCUGUAACAGAACCAGACGAGCCCCAAGUAGAAUACCGAUCUGAGGAGGCUCAAGCAGUUAGAAGUAAUUUUGUGGGAGGGGAGUCAUCUGCCACCAAAUAUCCUGAAGAUCUUGAAUGGGAUGAAUUUGGAAAUGAUCUGUACGCUAUUCCUGAAGCAUUACCAGUCCAGUCAAGCAACCAAGUGCAGGAUGCUCCUCCUCCAAGUAAAGCUGAUGAGGAGAGUAAGAUCAAAGCUUUAAUUGACACUCCAGCCUUAGAUUGGCAGAGUCAACCCUCUGAUGGCUUUGGUGCUGGUAGAGGUUAUGGACGAGGUCAAGGUGGAAGAAUGAUGGGUGGACGUGGUGGGCGAGGUUUUGGUUGGGGUGGUGGGUUGGAACGGAAAACACCACCACCAGGCUAUGUAUGCCAUCGCUGUAAGGUGCCUGGGCAUUUCAUUCAGCACUGUCCAACAAAUGGUGACCCCAAUUUUGACAUUAGGAAAGUGAAACCUCCAACUGGCAUUCCGAAGUCCAUGUUAAUGGCAACCCCAGAUGGUUCAUAUGCUUUACCAAGUGGUGCCAGUGCUGUUUUAAAGCCCAAUGAGGCUGCUUUUGAAAGAGAAGUUGAAGGGAUGCCUUCUAUACGUUCCGUUGGUGAUCUUCCACCAGAGCUUCAUUGUCCCUUGUGUAAAGAAGUAAUGAAAGAUGCAGUGUUAACAAGCAAGUGUUGUUUUACCAGUUUCUGCGAUAAAUGCAUAAGGGAUCAUAUCAUCUCGAAGUCGGUGUGUGUCUGUGGGGCCACAAAUAUACUUGCUGAUGACCUGUUACCCAACAAGACCUUGAGGGAUACAAUUAAUAGAAUACUGGAAUCAAAUAAUAGCAGUGCAGAGCAUGGGGGUAGUGCUCUCCAAGUUCAAGAUAUGGAGUCAGCACGCAUUCUCCCACCUAAGAUUCCAUCUCCUUCACAAUCUGCAGCUUCAAAGGGUGAGCUGUUACCACCACCACUACCACCACCACCACCUCCACCUCUUAAGGAGGAAAAUUCUAUAGCCCAGGAGAUUGCAGAAGAGGGUAAGAAUGGCAGUGCUCCUCAGCAAAUGUUAGAGAGAGGAAGAACUUUGAAGGUUGCAGAUGUUUCUGAAGCUACACACGAGUCCGUCAGUGUUAAAGAACCUGUAUCCCCGGGAAGUGCUCCAUUGGCUGAUGAAGAGGUUCAGCAAAAGCCUGUAGUUGGGGAGGCAGGAAAGAAAAAGAAGAAGAAAAAAACACGAUUGGCUUUGAACCCUGCUGCUGCUGAGAUGCAGUGGAGAGCUGCUCAAGAUCUUGCUGCCGAGAAUUAUAUGAUGUCCAUGGGUCCUGCUGCCUAUAAUCCAUAUUGGACAGGCAUGCAACCUGGACUAGAUGGGUUUGGAGCCCCUUAUCAUGGUGCCAUGCCAUACAAUCCUUAUGGGAUGGGUCCUCUAGAUGUGCCCUUUAUGCCGCCUCCUGUCGUACCACAUGAUCCAUUUGGCGGACAAGGUUUUAUGCUGCCUUUCGGUCCUCCAAUGCAGAGGGACCUUGCAGCAGACUUUGGGAUGGGAUUUAAUGCUGGCCCACCAAUCAUGAGCAGAGAAGAAUUUGAGGCUAGAAAGGCUGAUCUGAGAAGGAAGCGUGAGAGCGAGAGACGUGGAGAGAGCAGGGAGUUCCCUAAAGACAGGGAACAUGCAAGGGAAGUUGGGAGCACUGCUGAUGGUCCUUCCCUGAAACCCAAAUCUAAAGCUCCGUCGAGCUCCAGCCGUCCCCGCCAACCUGAGAGGCCUUCCCCAGACCUUGACCACCGCCGACGUGAGAGGCCAUCGCCAGACCUUGAUCACCACCGCCGACCUGAGAGGCCAUCGCCAGACCUUGACCACCACCGCCGACCUGAGAGGCCAUCACCAGACCGUGAUUACCCCCGCCGAUCUGAGAGGUUGUCUCCAGACCGUCGAUCGCGUGACCCUGAACUUCCUCGCCCUUCUUCCAAGAAAAAGUAUGAAGAUUAUGACGAUCAUCACCAUGAGGACCGCCAUCAGCGCGAGCAUACCCAUCGCAGUAGCAGUAGCCAUCACCGUUCAGAAUCUUCAGCUAGCGCCAAACCAUCCUCCAUAGGCCCAUCUGAACCGCAAUCCAAAUCCGUUGAUAAGAGGAAGGCGAGUGUUUUUUCUCGUAUCAGUUUCCCAGCUGAAGAUUCAGCAGCAGCUUCAAAGAAGCGAAAGGUGCCAUCCUCGAGUGAAGUGCCAGUGAGUUCUUCGGCGAGCCACAGGGGUGGCACAACAAAUGGGUAUCAUGGAGAGUACAAAAGACCACCGCCGCCGACCUGAGAGGCCAUCGCCAGACCUUGACCACCACCGCCGACCUGAGAGGCCAUCACCAGACCGUGAUUACCCCCGCCGAUCUGAGAGGUUGUCUCCAGACCGUCGAUCGCGUGACCCUGAACUUCCUCGCCCUUCUUCCAAGAAAAAGUAUGAAGAUUAUGACGAUCAUCACCAUGAGGACCGCCAUCAGCGCGAGCAUACCCAUCGCAGUAGCAGUAGCCAUCACCGUUCAGAAUCUUCAGCUAGCGCCAAACCAUCCUCCAUAGGCCCAUCUGAACCGCAAUCCAAAUCCGUUGAUAAGAGGAAGGCGAGUGUUUUUUCUCGUAUCAGUUUCCCAGCUGAAGAUUCAGCAGCAGCUUCAAAGAAGCGAAAGGUGCCAUCCUCGAGUGAAGUGCCAGUGAGUUCUUCGGCGAGCCACAGGGGUGGCACAACAAAUGGGUAUCAUGGAGAGUACAAAACGACUACUGGAUCAAGGAAGAGUACCACUGCGAGUGUGGAUUAUGAGAGCAGUGAUGAUGAUCGGCACUUCAAAAGGAAGCCUUCAAGAUUGAGAUAGUAUAUGAUGAGGGAGAGACUGGAUCAAAAAGAAUCUUGCAUGGAUAUAAAUACAGCGCGGGCAUCUUUGAAACAUUCAAAUCUGGAUCGACUUUCCUGAGUGAUACCAUCUACUUCACAAAGUUCUCAGUGCAACGUUAUGAGUUUUUUAGUUUGAUCCUUGAGAGAUGGGAACAGCACAAAUUUGCUCAUCCAAGGAUCGUCAAAACAUGAACGUUCUAGUGAAUUGUUGUAGAUUCUAUCUAAGAAUUGUAUUAUCUUAUGAAUGCUACAUAGUUGUUUUAGUUAAUUGCAAACAACACCGAAAUUUCAAAAAUAAGAUCGCGCGUUCUCCAUUUUUAUGGCAAUUUUCAUUAUUA